This 445-nucleotide ribosomal RNA is filed under the name uncultured bacterium. Its description in RNAcentral is "SSU rRNA". It matches the Rfam family "Bacterial small subunit ribosomal RNA", at positions 26 to 518 of the family's 1533-position model. The record is from RNAcentral.
AGAACGAACGCUGGCGGCAGGCUUAACACAUGCAAGUCGAGCGCCCAGCAAUGGGAGCGGCGGACGGGUGAGUAACACGUGGGAACAUGCCCUUUGGUACGGGACAACUCAGGGAAACUUGAGCUAAAUACCGUAUGUGCCGGUAACGGGAAAGAUUUAUCGCCAAGGAAUGGCCCGCGUCCGAUUAGCUAGUUGGUGAGGUAAUGGCUCACCAAGGCACCGAUCGGUAGCUGGUUUGAGAGAACGACCAGCCACACUGGGACUGAGACACGGCCCAGACUCCUACGGGAGGCAGCAGUGGGGGAAUCUUGGACAAUGGGGGCAACCCUGAUCCAGCCAUGCCGCGUGAGUGAUGAAGGCCUUCGGGUUGUAAAACUCUUUCGACGGGGACGAUAAUGACGGUACCCGUAGAAGAAGCUCCGGCUAACUUCGUGCCAGCAGCCGC